CAUAAAUCGAUGAAAAGGACGAGUAAUAUUAACCCUUACUUAUAGAGAAUUAACGGUUGGUGGAAGUUAAUAGUAACCUAAUAUGAAUAAAACCUUGGAGAGAAUAUCCGGCAGACUGCCGUUAUCAGUUAAGAGAAUCAGUUAAUGAUUAAAGAAGGGUGGUACCACGAACAAAAUCGUCCCUUUA
Molecule: non-coding RNA, 187 nt
Filed under: Clostridium sp.
Lineage: Bacteria; Bacillati; Bacillota; Clostridia; Eubacteriales; Clostridiaceae
Description: T-box sequence
Rfam family: T-box leader
About the family: Uncharged tRNA acts as the effector for transcription antitermination of genes in the T-box leader family.
Source: RNAcentral